Long non-coding RNA from Serinus canaria (Common canary), 1083 nucleotides. RefSeq lists it as uncharacterized. The transcript has 3 exons. Lineage: Eukaryota; Metazoa; Chordata; Aves; Passeriformes; Fringillidae. The record is from RefSeq and is a predicted model, not a curated record.
UUUCCUUUGUGAAGAACUUAUAUCACAGAUAAUAAAGUUUUAAAUCAAUAGUCUGAACGUAUGCAGAGCUAUAAUCUUUGUAGAUUUGGUAAUCCCCUGUGACAUUUACAGGACAGUUUCUGCAAACUCAGAAUUCCAGAGCUGAAUUAGCAUUUCUGAGGUGUAGGAGAUCCCCUGUGUUCUUGUGAUGUGUGUGGAGCAGCAAAGAAUCAUAAACUCAUGUCUGACAGUGUUUGUAUUUAAGCUUUAGCAACUCCAUUUCAAGAUGUAGGGUGGAAAAAAGGAGGCUGUGGCUGAUUUUCCCUGUCUGGGAGAGUUUUCUGGCAGGAUUUUGAUUCUUUCCCCGUCUCCCUGAGCCGUGUGGAGCCUUGGGAAGCCCGGCACGAGGCCAGCCCUGCUUUGCCCCUGUAACUCACAGAAUCUGUGCCACAGAGUCGGACCCCCAACACCUGCUGGGCGCCUUUCAAGCUGCUUUAACUGGAUCACAAGUUCCCAACUGUAGAUAGAUGUAACAGAGACUAAUCCCAUAAUCUGGACAGAAGUACAAGCCCUGGAUGGAGAGCAGCUCAUGUUACCUCCAGUUGUCCUUCAGUGAUGGCAGGGGAGCUCAGACACUCUCAUCUCCCCCAGCCACUUUUUGGAUGGAACCCUGGAAUUCAAUUGUGCAAAGAUUAAUUAAUAACUCCAUUUCCAUGGCAAGCUCACUGAUUGCUCUGGUUCAGGAGGGUUGGUGUGCUGGCAGUGCAGUGGGAAGGUGCCUGUCCACUCGCGUGCUGCUGUUGCUUAUUGAAGACCAGAGCUCGCUCCCUGCUCGGGCCGCUCCUCAGGAUUCCUAAAGGUAAUUUUUCCCCCCUACACUGCUGGCAGAAGGAUUGGGCAUUGUUUUCUCCGAGGUUCGGCUUCAAAAAGGGGGAGAAGAAAAAAAAAGAAUAAAAUAAAAGCCCGUUUCGCUGGCGAUCCCUUGAAGUUUUUGCUGUUUCCCUGCCUCCCCCUGCACCCCCGGCUGCCGGGGUUUCCCCGUUUCCCCCGGUGGAUGAGAUUUAGCGUUAUUGUUCCUCCGCACGCUGCCCUCCCCGCCGGGGG